This 253-nucleotide ribosomal RNA is filed under the name uncultured bacterium. RNAcentral describes it as "partial 16S ribosomal RNA". It matches the Rfam family "Bacterial small subunit ribosomal RNA", at positions 524 to 776 of the family's 1533-position model. The record is from RNAcentral.
UACAGAGGGUGCAAGCGUUGUUCGGAAUUAUUGGGCGUAAAGGGCGCGUAGGCGGUUUGGCAAGUCUCUUGUGAAAUCUCUGGGCUCAACUCAGAGUCUGCUGGGGAAACUGCCGGGCUUGAGUGUGGGAGAGGAGAGUGGAAUUCCCGGUGUAGCGGUGAAAUGCGUAGAUAUUGGGAGGAACACCGGUGGCGAAGGCGGCCCUCUGGACCGGUACUGACGCUGAUGCGCGAAAGCGUGGGGAGCAAACGGG